Molecule: ribosomal RNA, 1089 nt
Filed under: Escherichia coli
Lineage: Bacteria; Pseudomonadati; Pseudomonadota; Gammaproteobacteria; Enterobacterales; Enterobacteriaceae
Description: partial 23S ribosomal RNA
Rfam family: Bacterial large subunit ribosomal RNA
Source: RNAcentral
CGGGACACGUGGUAUCCUGUCUGAAUAUGGGGGGACCAUCCUCCAAGGCUAAAUACUCCUGACUGACCGAUAGUGAACCAGUACCGUGAGGGAAAGGCGAAAAGAACCCCGGCGAGGGGAGUGAAAAAGAACCUGAAACCGUGUACGUACAAGCAGUGGGAGCACGCUUAGGCGUGUGACUGCGUACCUUUUGUAUAAUGGGUCAGCGACUUAUAUUCUGUAGCAAGGUUAACCGAAUAGGGGAGCCGAAGGGAAACCGAGUCUUAACUGGGCGUUAAGUUGCAGGGUAUAGACCCGAAACCCGGUGAUCUAGCCAUGGGCAGGUUGAAGGUUGGGUAACACUAACUGGAGGACCGAACCGACUAAUGUUGAAAAAUUAGCGGAUGACUUGUGGCUGGGGGUGAAAGGCCAAUCAAACCGGGAGAUAGCUGGUUCUCCCCGAAAGCUAUUUAGGUAGCGCCUCGUGAAUUCAUCUCCGGGGGUAGAGCACUGUUUCGGCAAGGGGGUCAUCCCGACUUACCAACCCGAUGCAAACUGCGAAUACCGGAGAAUGUUAUCACGGGAGACACACGGCGGGUGCUAACGUCCGUCGUGAAGAGGGAAACAACCCAGACCGCCAGCUAAGGUCCCAAAGUCAUGGUUAAGUGGGAAACGAUGUGGGAAGGCCCAGACAGCCAGGAUGUUGGCUUAGAAGCAGCCAUCAUUUAAAGAAAGCGUAAUAGCUCACUGGUCGAGUCGGCCUGCGCGGAAGAUGUAACGGGGCUAAACCAUGCACCGAAGCUGCGGCAGCGACACUAUGUGUUGUUGGGUAGGGGAGCGUUCUGUAAGCCUGUGAAGGUGUACUGUGAGGUAUGCUGGAGGUAUCAGAAGUGCGAAUGCUGACAUAAGUAACGAUAAAGCGGGUGAAAAGCCCGCUCGCCGGAAGACCAAGGGUUCCUGUCCAACGUUAAUCGGGGCAGGGUGAGUCGACCCCUAAGGCGAGGCCGAAAGGCGUAGUCGAUGGGAAACAGGUUAAUAUUCCUGUACUUGGUGUUACUGCGAAGGGGGGACGGAGAAGGCUAUGUUGGCCGGGCGACGGUUGUCCCGGUU